Molecule: long non-coding RNA, 1263 nt
Organism: Lolium perenne
Lineage: Eukaryota; Viridiplantae; Streptophyta; Magnoliopsida; Poales; Poaceae
Source: RefSeq, a predicted model, not a curated record
ACAUCAUCCCGUCGUCCGUGUGGAGCGCGACAGCCGCCGCCAUCGACACCAUCGGCAUCAUGUCGUCCUACCUGGAGCGCGACCGCCACCGCCGCCAUCGACACCCGGCCUUCCUGCAUCUAGGGCGAACGCCGCCGCCACCUACGACUCCCCGUCGUCCUGCAUCCAGGGCGACCGCAGCCGCCAGCGGAUCGGCCCGGUCAUGCAUCUCCGGCACCAGGUCGACGCCGUCGCAACAUCGAGAGACGCCGACUCUAGAUAUAUUCUGGAGGUCGGUCCCGUUGGGCGUGGCUGGCGAGCGAUGCCACCAGUAGGUAGACGCCGCUGCAACAUCAACAGACGCCAGACAAACUCGUCGGCAGGUACAUUGACUGUAUGGAUGCUGCUCCUCAGGGGAUUCUUGAUCUCUGCUUAUGCAUUGGAUAGCCACUCCUUAUGGGAUUCUUGAUCAUGGAUGUGUUAAGUUGAUUCAAAUGGCACACAUGGUCAUAGCCGUAGUUAAUUUGCAGGAUCAAAACAAAAGUUUUCUUGCUACAAUGAAGGUUUCUUUGUAGCUAUGUUGAUUCACUGAUGUCCAUCAAGCACUACCCGCAGGCAGAUGUAAAAGGCAAGCAACAAGCUGUUGUCAACUAUCAGGAGAUUAAGAGAGAGAGGUGGUUUCAGCAACGAUGUCAGAAACUGGCUCGUACAUGGCUAAAACCUGAUGCAGGCUUCCUGAAGCUUAACGUGGAUGGGUCUUAUAGUGAACAGGCAGGGAACGGGGGUGCUGGCUUGGUCCUGCGGGAUGAUACUGGAUCAGUUUUGUUGUGUGCCUGCCGAUACAUUCCAGCAUGCACCUCGCCACUGGAAGCUGAGCUUGUUGCUUGCAGGGAAGGCAUUGCCAAGACAAGAGAAUGGUCUGAUCAGCCUUGCAUUGUUGAGAUGGACAGUGUGGAAGCAGUCCGGAUGAUCAAGUCUCCGGGCUUGGACAGAUCAUGUUUCAGUCAUACGGUGCAAGAAAUCAAGCAAUCGAUGUAGCUAGAUCCUAGGUAGAAGUUGUUAGCAGUCGAUAGGAACCAAAAUCAUUCUGGUCAUUUGUUAGCAAAUAGGGGAAGAUUGAGUGCUGAAAAUGUAACCUGGAUCAGGAUGUUUAUGUGUGUUGCCUACAGGCCGGAGGCUUCUCCUGUAGCUUAAUCAGUACUAUAUUUAUUUCGCAAAAAAAAAGAGUAGAAGCCGUAGUUAAUUUGCAAGAAAAAACUCAGUAUUGCUGGUGUUUUCUUUCUC